UGGAAAGCUGACAAAAAGCCAACCCUGCUCCAACUGAUGGCAGCUUUGACUUAUUUUUCUUGUGUGCAAAUGACAGAAGCAAACUCCAAGCAAUGGAGGAUCAGACCCCAAUGCAAGCAUUUUCAGUCCUGCUGAAGCUAUGCUUAGCCUGAACUGCAGCUCAGCGUCCAAGCUUCACUCUUAAUAAAUGGAAGGGAACCUUAAAUAUGGGUCCAGGUCUCCAGUGAGAAAUACUUGUGUAGAAAAGACAGAAGGGAAAACACAAAAAUGGGCUUCUCCUGCCCUAAUUGCAACUACAAGUAUGUUGAGUGUGCAUUUGAAAGACAGAGGUAAGUAGUGCUUGUAAACAGCAGCAAAGCUAGUGAAACAGGACAAUAGCCAAGGGUCACCGUAGCCAUACCUAGCUUGCAGAAACCUUAUUUGAGGAAGAGAACCAAUAUAGCCCUGUAGGUAUAAUUGUUAUCUCCUGCUGGAUGUCCUUGCUGCAUUUUAUAUGAAGCUUGAUUAUAUAAAUGGGUUGCAUAUUCUGGAAACACUUCAACGUGUGGGAAAAAUAGAUGGAGAACGGGCUGAUGCCUGGAUUUCACUCAAAGUAAAAAGCAGCUGUUCCGAGUUCUGAGCUGCUACAAGUAGACCUGCCCUAGAUGUGCCCUCAAGCAGAUUUUGGAGGCAUGGUGCUGAAGUCUUAACUGGGCUUCAUAUGGUCUGUUCCCCACAAAAUGUUUAGUAUCUAGAGGCAGAAUAGCAGGCACAUUUUGAAACUUCCUGUGUUUGUAUUUAGGGACAUAUUUUCUGUCCAUUUAGUGGAUACAGACACUCUCCUUUAUUGACAUUGUGGAGUGAAGGGUAACUGCUGUACCUUACCAGCCAAAAUAAAAUAGAACUACCAUCUUAGGAAUAUUGCCUCUGAGCGUAAAAACUGAGUAACACAGGCUGGGCAGCAAGUUGUUUAAUAUACAGGAAAAGGUGUACAGGUUAAAGAAUAUUCAGAUAAAUUUGAUAUGUUCAAGUCAGCAGGGCCUGAUGAAAUUUACCCCGGAGUACUUAAGGAACUAGCUAAAGUGAUCUCUGAAAUAUUAGCAAUUAUCUUUGAGAGCUCAUGGAGGGUGGGUGAGGUACCAGAGAACAGGUGAAAGGCAAACACAAUAUUUAUCUUUAGAAAGGGGAAACAGGAAGACCCAGGGAAUUAUAGGCCAAUCAGCCUGACUGAAACUAAGAAAAAUGCAGAAGCAAAUUAUUGAAUAAUCACUAUGUAAACAUCUAGAGGAGAAUAAGAUGCUAAGAAACAGCCGGCAUGGGUUUGUCAAGACCAAAACACAUCAAAGCAACCUUAUUUCCUUCUUUCAUUGGGUAACUGCCCCAGUGGAUAAGGGAGAAGUAGCAGAAGUGGAUAGAUUUUUACUUGAGCGAAGCUUUUGACAUACAUCAGCACAACUUUUUUGUAAGUAAAUAGGAGGAAUAUGGCUUUGAUGAAAUUCUGUGAUGAAUGAAAAACUAUUUGAAAAAUUUGGCUUAUUGGUAAAGCAGUUAUCCAUGGUUUGUUGACAAACUGGUAAAACAUAUCAAAUAAGAUGCCACAGAAGUUUCUCUUAGGUUCAGUAUUGUUCAAUAUUUUCAGCUUUGAUGAUCGAAUAUGAAGAAAACUUUUGAAAACUGCAUGUGAUACUGAAUUAGGAGGGGCUGCAACCACUUUAGAGAGUAGGUUUUGAAUACAAAAUGAGCUUGAUAAAUUGAAGGAAGAGUCUGAAAUCAGUUGGAUGAGUUGCUGAGGGGCAUGGUUUAGGCAGUGUUAGGAAUGGUUGGACUCGAUGACUCAGUGGGUCCCUUCCAACCUAGUGAUUCUAUGAUUCUAUGAUGAAAUUCAAUGAAGACAAAUGCAAAGUAUCAUUUCUGAGGAAGAAAAAAAUCAAAUGCACAAGUAUUAAAUGGGAAACAACUAGUUUGGGAGCAAUUUUCAGAAAAAUGGCCUAGCACAGACCACAAAAAAAAUUAAAUGCAGAAAUGUGAAAAUGACCAAAGAGUAAAUUCCAUGCUGUCUGAAUUAAUAGUAAUGUUGUGAAUAAUUGAGAAGUAACUAUUUAAUUCUGCCCUGGGUAGUAGGGCCUGACCUAGGAAUAUUACGCUUGUGUCCAACAGUGAUGAAACAUUUUAAAGUAUAGACAAUUUGCAAAUAAUUCCCCUUUUGAAAGGAGAAAGAAUAAAGCUUAGAAAAUAUCUUCUACUACCAGGAAAAACUGAAUUAACUUACUUCUUUUUUCUAGGAAAGGAAAGAGGCAUAAUGGUCAUAAAGUAUGGGAAAAUGUUACACAAAAAUUUUAUAGAGGAAAGGACACCUACUCUGCUUGUCUAGAAACAGGUGGAGUAAGCUGAAGCAAGAGAUACGCAGAUUAGAUAGAAUUCAGAUAGAUGCUCUGGCUGUGGGGAUGUUAUAGCACUGGAACAGGGCUUCUAAGAAUAUUCUGGAAUCCUUGUUUCAAAUCCUGAAAAUAGGUCAGACAGACAUCUGUCAGUGACAUGAAACAGAUGCCCUCUUGAGAGCACUUUUACUUUCACAUUUCUACAGUAAUACACCUCAGUCAAGACAAAUAGUCCCAUGAAUGAAAUAAGCAAGAAUUGCAUACACACACAGAGACAUGCAUUUUCCCCAAAACUCCCACCCUUCCCUUGAAAAACCAUUUUAAAAUUGUUGUACACUUUCACACAAUCUUCUACUCUCAUUUUCACCUGCCUUUGCCUUGAAACAAGGGCAACAGUCAUUAGUGAUUCCAUACUUAUAUAAAAGAUUAUGAAGCUAAGCAGGGCUGCCUUCUACUCUAACAUCCAAUCCAGCACAUUGACUUUUCUGGGCUGGCUUUACAACUGUGUAAAAGCAAGACCUAAAACCAUUAAAAAGCGCCUUUUUCAAAGUGUUUGCUGCAAGCUGCUCUAAGAAGUGCUUUUUUCUUUUGAUCUUUGUACUUUUGAUGAAGCUACACAAUCUGAGAAUGAUGUUUUAUAAAUACGUCUUCUCCCUUUUAAUGAUAAUCACAGGACAAACUGCAUGGUACUUCUGUGAGGUUUUAUUGGCAUUAUUUUGAACCAGUGUGUUAUUUAUGGGACCAUCCAAGACACAAUGCACAAACCACACGGUAUCUUCAUGUUAUGUUUUCUGUGUGAGCCACACGCGUCUUAAAACAUAGCCUUGAAAUAUUUAGUGAGAUGUAGGAUGUUCUUUUAAGGCUGUAAGUCCAGAAAUCUUAGCCAUCAAAUGUUGAUCUGUAUGAAGUCUGUGAAAAGAAAAAACACUGUUUUAAAUGACUGAUUUACACUAUCCAACUGAAAUUUGACUGCAAGAUUUGCACACUGCAUUGCAGGGGAUGCUACUCCAAAGUGACACUCAAAGAGCUGAAUGUU
This is a long non-coding RNA of Cuculus canorus (common cuckoo), 3393 nucleotides long. RefSeq lists it as uncharacterized. The transcript is spliced from 3 exons. Lineage: Eukaryota; Metazoa; Chordata; Aves; Cuculiformes; Cuculidae. The record is from RefSeq and is a predicted model, not a curated record.